This 253-nucleotide ribosomal RNA is filed under the name uncultured bacterium. RNAcentral describes it as "partial 16S ribosomal RNA". It matches the Rfam family "Bacterial small subunit ribosomal RNA", at positions 524 to 776 of the family's 1533-position model. The record is from RNAcentral.
UACGGAGGGUGCGAGCGUUGUCCGGAAUCACUGGGCGUAAAGGGCGCGUAGGCGGUGGCCUAAGCGUGCGGUGAAAGCCCGGGGCUCAACCCCGGGUCGGCCGUGCGAACUGGGCCACUCGAGCACUGUAGAGGCGGGUGGAAUUCCGGGUGUAGCGGUGAAAUGCGCAGAUAUCAGGAAGAACACCCGUGGCGAAGGCGGCUCUCUGGGACGGUACUGACGCUGAGACGCGAAAGCGUGGGGAGCAAACAGG